GACGAACGCUGGCGGCGUGCUUAACACAUGCAAGUCGAGCGGUAAGGCCCUUUCGGGGGUACACGAGUGGCGAACGGGUGAGUAACACGUGGGUGACCUGCCCUCAGCUCUGGGAUAAGCCUGGGAAACCGGGUCUAAUACUGGAUAUGACUCCAUGACGCAUGUUGUGGGGUGGAAAGCCUUGUGCGGCUGAGGAUGGGCCCGCGGCCUAUCAGCUUGUUGGUGGGGUGANGGCCUACCAAGGCGACGACGGGUAGCCGGCCUGAGAGGGCGACCGGCCACACUGGGACUGAGACACGGCCCAGACUCCUACGGGAGGCAGCAGUGGGGAAUCUUGCGCAAUGGGCGAAAGCCUGACGCAGCGACGCCGCGUGAGGGAUGACGGCCU
Molecule: ribosomal RNA, 388 nt
Filed under: uncultured bacterium
Lineage: Bacteria
Description: bacterial SSU rRNA
Rfam family: Bacterial small subunit ribosomal RNA
Source: RNAcentral